This 597-nucleotide ribosomal RNA is filed under the name Triticum aestivum (bread wheat). RNAcentral's name for it is "partial small subunit ribosomal RNA". Lineage: Eukaryota; Viridiplantae; Streptophyta; Magnoliopsida; Poales; Poaceae. The record is from RNAcentral.
AUGGAGAACGAGUUCCAGGAUGGCAAGGAGGAGGUCAUCCAAGCAUGGUACAUGGAUGACAGUGAAGAGGACCAGAGGCUCCCUCACCACCGUGAGCCCAAAGAGUUCAUUCCUCUUGCCAAACUUUCAGAAUUAGGUGUUGUAAGCUGGAACCUGAAUGCUGAUAACUGGGAGAAAGACGAGAAUCUCAAGAAAAUCCGUGAGGCCAGGGGAUACUCCUAUGUGGACAUCUGCGACGUAUGUCCUGAGAAGUUGCCAAACUAUGAGGCCAAGCUGAAGAAUUUCUUUGAAGAGCACUUGCAUACUGAUGAAGAGAUACGCUAUUGUCUUGAGGGCAGUGGAUACUUUGAUGUGAGGGACCAAAACGAACAGUGGAUCCGUAUAGCAGUUAAGAAAGGUGGCAUGAUUGUUUUGCCUGCAGGAAUGUAUCACCGCUUUACAUUGGAUAGUGACAACUACAUCAAGGCAAUGCGGCUCUUUGUGGGAGAGCCUAUCUGGACGCCAUACAACCGUCCCCAUGACCAUCUCCCAGCUAGAAAGGAGUAUGUCGACAAGAUUAUCAACAGAGGUGGGAACCAAACUGUUGAAGCUCGUUGA